GGGUGAGUAACACGUGAGCAACCUGCCUUCGAGAGGGGAAUAACGGCUGGAAACGGUCGCUAAUACCGCAUAACAUACCGGGAGGACAUCCUGCUGGUAUCAAAGAUUUAUCGCUCGAAGAUGGGCUCGCGUCCGAUUAGGUAGUUGGUGAGGUAACGGCUCACCAAGCCGACGAUCGGUAGCCGGACUGAGAGGUUGAACGGCCACAUUGGGACUGAGACACGGCCCAGACUCCUACGGGAGGCAGCAGUGGGGGAUAUUGCACAAUGGGGGAAACCCUGAUGCAGCGACGCCGCGUGUGGGAAGACGGUCCUCUGGAUUGUAAACCACUGUCCCCAGGGACGAAGAUGACGGUACCUGGGGAGGAAGCUCCGGCUAACUACGUGCCAGCAGCCGCGGUAAUACGUAGGGAGCGAGCGUUGUCCGGAAUUACUGGGUGUAAAGGGAGCGUAGGCGGGGAUGCAAGUUGGGUGUCAAAACUACCGGCUCAACUGGUAGUCGCACUCAAAACUGCAGCUCUUGAGUGAAGUAGAGGCAGGCGGAAUUCCUAGUGUAGCGGUGAAAUGCGUAGAUAUUAGGAGGAACACCAGUGGCGAAGGCGGCCUGCUGGGCUUUUACUGACGCUGAGGCUCGAAAGUGUGGGGAGCAAACAGGAUUAGAUACCCUGGUAGUCCACACCGUAAACGAU
Molecule: ribosomal RNA, 688 nt
Filed under: uncultured bacterium
Lineage: Bacteria
Description: bacterial SSU rRNA
Rfam family: Bacterial small subunit ribosomal RNA
Source: RNAcentral